CCUAGCCCUUCAGAGGGGGACAACAGUUGGAAACGACUGCUAAUACCGCAUACGAUCCAAUCUCGGCAUCGAGACUGGAUGAAAGGUGGCCUCUAUUUAUAAGCUAUCACUGAAGGAGGGGAUUGCGUCUGAUUAGCUAGUUGGAGGGGUAACGGCCCACCAAGGCGAUGAUCAGUAGCCGGUCUGAGAGGAUGACCGGCCACAUUGGGACUGAGACACGGCCCAA
Molecule: ribosomal RNA, 226 nt
Filed under: uncultured bacterium
Lineage: Bacteria
Description: partial 16S ribosomal RNA
Rfam family: Bacterial small subunit ribosomal RNA
Source: RNAcentral